CCCAGACUCCUACGGGAGGCAGCAGUGGGGGAUAUUGCACAAUGGGGGGAACCCUGAUGCAGCGACGCCGCGUGGGUGAAGGAGUAUUUCGGUAUGUAAAGCCCUAUCGGCAGGGAAGAAGCAAGACGGUACCUGACUAAGAAGCCCCGGCUAACUACGUGCCAGCAGCCGCGGUAAUACGUAGGGGGCGAGCGUUAUCCGGAUUCACUGGGUGUAAAGGGAGCGUAGACGGCCAUGCAAGCCAGGGGUGAAAGCCCGGGGCCCAACCCCGGAACUGCCCUUGGAACUGUGCGGCUAGAGUGCGGGAGGGGCAGGCGGAAUUCCUAGUGUAGCGGUGAAAUGCGUAGAUAUCAGGAGGAACACCAGUGGCGAAGGCGGCUUACUGGACUGUAACUGACGUUGAGGCUCGAAAGCGUGGGGAGCAAACAGGAUUAGAUACCCCUGUA
RNAcentral lists this ribosomal RNA (446 nucleotides) under uncultured bacterium. RNAcentral's name for it is "bacterial SSU rRNA". It matches the Rfam family "Bacterial small subunit ribosomal RNA", at positions 330 to 792 of the family's 1533-position model. The record is from RNAcentral.